RNAcentral lists this unclassified non-coding RNA (1185 nucleotides) under Hevea brasiliensis (rubber tree). Lineage: Eukaryota; Viridiplantae; Streptophyta; Magnoliopsida; Malpighiales; Euphorbiaceae. The record is from RNAcentral.
AUCGCAUCGUCCCCCUUCUCCCUCGUGUGUAUCGCCCCCCUCCCUUUUCUCCAAUUUCGGAUUUUCCCCUGCUAAAUCUCAUCAAUUUUACCGUCCAAUUCUCUUCUACAAAACCCCCCAUCAAGCUCCCAAUUUCCCUCAUAGCCAUACAGACAAAAUUACAAUAUUUUCUUGAAAAAUCUGGCAAUGGCUUCUUUCAGUGUCCCUUGUCCUAAGAUUUCUGUCCUCUCUGUUGCUUCAUCAUCCAAUUUAAGCUCGACCCAUCAGCCCCAGAGCUCCCUUUCCUUCAGAUCCGGUCCUGCAUUGCUCCCUCGUAUUCAGGGGUCCAGUCGCAUCCAAUCUCAGGUGUUUAAGGUGAAUGCCCAGCUGAAUGAGGUUGCUAUUGACAAGUCGAACAAUUCAAAACCUGUCUCUGAGAAAAGCUUGGAGGAAGUCUCCAAGACUGAAUACAGUAUUCCAGAUGCUUCAUCCAUUCAAGCAUUCAUGUCUCAGGCAGCUGAUCUUGUGGAGCUUGUGGAUUCAAGGGACAUUGUGGAGCUGCAGCUAAAGCAAAACAAUUGUGAAAUUCUUAUAAGGAAGAAGGCGGCAUUGCCCCAGCCGCCUGUUUAUAUGGCCUCACCAUCUGUUCCACAGGCCUUUGUUCAGCAACAGUUGCCUCCUGCAAGUGCCCCUGCUCCUGCAGCUCCAGCAGUUGCUGCACUUCCUCCACCUGCACCUUCAAAGCCUAAAUCCUCACAUCCUCCAAUGAAAUGUCCCAUGGCCGGAACAUUCUAUCGAUCACCUGCCCCAGGGGCAGCACCUUUUGUUAAGGUAGGUGACAAGGUCCAGAAAGGGCAAGUGGUCUGCAUUAUUGAGGCUAUGAAAUUGAUGAAUGAAAUUGAGGCUGAUCAAGCUGGAACCAUAGUUGACAUAGUUGCAGAGGAUGGUAAGCCCGUUAGUGUGGACACGCCUCUAUUUGUCAUUGAACCAUGAUAGAAAGAAGUAAUCUUGGUGUGCAACAUAGGUGGAUGAAGCAGAGUGAAAUUCAAAAGUUAUAGAGAGCAAAUCUGUCUUAAGCUCAAGGCAUAUCUGCUCAGAAGAUUGGUUCACUAUUACUCUUGUUGAAAUCUAUGAUCAUAUUUAUAGCUUGUAUUACUCAUUUUCCUUAUGCUGCUCAUAAAUUUUGGAACUAUAUUUUCUUUAUAA